Long non-coding RNA from Galeopterus variegatus (Sunda flying lemur), 554 nucleotides. RefSeq lists it as uncharacterized. NCBI's taxonomy places the organism in Eukaryota, Metazoa, Chordata, Mammalia, Dermoptera, Cynocephalidae. The transcript has 2 exons. The record is from RefSeq and is a predicted model, not a curated record.
CCUGUUUCCCCAGCCCUUCCCGGGCCCUGGGUCCAGUCCCUCCCAGUGUGAGAGGUGUCUUUCUACAAUGGAAAUCUGAUUAUGUUGCUGCUCUGCUCAGAGCUCUCCAGCGGUGUCCAUCCUGCAGGAGGGAGUUCAGGACCUCAUGCUGCUGUUUUCCUGCAGGGCCCCCCACACCUGCUGGGACUGACUUGCAAACACCUCCUUAUCCCCAAGAGCAUCUGUGCCCCACCCAGGCCAGAGCCUUUGCCUACCCCCACCCCCACUUCCAUGGAACCUUGAAGACCCUGUUGUGGGGUAGGCACUGGGCACCACCUCCCAAUGUCUAAACUAGGCUGUGGGUUCUGCGAUGACCUGGUCUCUGCAGGGCCAGCAGCACCUGGCCAGGGCUGGUACUCAAAUGCACUUUACUAAUGAAAUGAUAAACCAGUGAGCCAACGUUUUCACUCUGCUUUCUCAAAAGAUCAAUUUGUAAAUUGAAGUUUGAUUUGGAAGUGUAUUUAUAUUGAAAGAGGGAUGUGCUUGUGAUUUCUGAUUUAAAGUUACCUCUUGUG